GAAGAGUUUGAUCAUGGCUCAGAUUGAACGCUGGCGGCAGGCCUAACACAUGCAAGUCGAACGGUAACAGGAAGCAGCUUGCUGCUUUGCUGACGAGUGGCGGACGGGUGAGUAAUGUCUGGGAAACUGCCUGAUGGAGGGGGAUAACUACUGGAAACGGUGGCUAAUACCGCAUAACGUCGCAAGACCAAAGAGGGGGACCUUCGGGCCUCUUGCCAUCAGAUGUGCCCAGAUGGGAUUAGCUUGUUGGUGAGGUAACGGCUCACCAAGGCGACGAUCCCUAGCUGGUCUGAGAGGAUGACCAGCCACACUGGAACUGAGACACGGUCCAGACUCCUACGGGAGGCAGCAGUGGGGAAUAUUGCACAAUGGGCGCAAGCCUGAUGCAGCCAUGCCGCGUGUAUGAAGAAGGCCUUCGGGUUGUAAAGUACUUUCAGCGGGGAGGAAGGUGUUGUGGUUAAUAACCGCAGCAAUUGACGUUACCCGCAGAAGAAGCACCGGCUAACUCCGUGCCAGCAGCCGCGGUAAUACGGAGGGUGCAAGCGUUAAUCGGAAUUACUGGGCGUAAAGCGCACGCAGGCGGUCUGUCAAGUCGGAUGUGAAAUCCCCGGGCUCAACCUGGGAACUGCAUUCGAAACUGGUAGGCUUGAGUCUUGUAGAGGGGGGUAGAAUUCCAGGUGUAGCGGUGAAAUGCGUAGAGAUCUGGAGGAAUACCGGUGGCGAAGGCGGCCCCCUGGACAAAGA
RNAcentral lists this ribosomal RNA (744 nucleotides) under Salmonella enterica. Its description in RNAcentral is "bacterial SSU rRNA". It matches the Rfam family "Bacterial small subunit ribosomal RNA", at positions 1 to 739 of the family's 1533-position model. Lineage: Bacteria; Pseudomonadati; Pseudomonadota; Gammaproteobacteria; Enterobacterales; Enterobacteriaceae. The record is from RNAcentral.